UCUUGUCAAAAAGAAUUAAGGCUAUGUGCUCUCAGGAAAACAACUGUGCCCUUCCCAUUACUUGGCAUUUGGAAUAAUGAAAUGAAUGGUGUAAACUCUCUGACUUCCAGAAACCAUAAGAACAGAGAAGUCCAGAAGCUUCUGAGAGGACCCCAGCUCCUGAUUCCCAUAUGUGGAUGGCUCAGAUCAAUGCUGUCUGUUCAGCAGUACCACUCAGCCCCUACCAAGGAGUCACUGAACUUUCACAAGCACAAAUAUUUCUUCCUUUUUUUAGACAAGGACAGAAGGGCCUCUUCCUUAUCCACACUUCUGAUCUCAUCAUCCUCUUUGUUCUCACUCCCAAAUAGCUGUUUUCUCUGAAUUAGAUGCCAAUUACUAAACACUAGAGGUACUAAAAGAAUACCUGAGAGGAAAUGCAGUCAUGACAACACUUGUGACAUCAAAGAAGAAGAUAAAGCUCUCCCGGUUACAAGAGAUUUUUCAGGCAGGACCUCAUGAUGACAUUACUGAGAACUGUCAUGGCCUCCCUGCUAAACAGCUUUCCUUACAUGGACCAGAUUUGAGCUUGCCCUUUCCACUGUUCCAUUUGCUCAAAACUAUUAGUGAAGAGGGUAAAAUGAUUCUAAAGGCUAUUCUUGGUUGUCAACUAUUCAUCUGAGAUUAAUUAAACUCCAACGACAAAGGGAAUAUGUGUCGAAUUUCUGCAUGAGGGCAAGGCAUCUGCAGAUACAUUCAUUUGAGGAAUGUAUCCUUCUCACUGGAGACCAUAGAGGGGACCUGCAUAUCAAUAAUAAACGUCACUUCAAGGCAUCAAAGCAAAAUAUCAAAGUGAGAAUGUAAUAAAUUUAUUAGGACAGUGUUUUGCAAACAACUUCUUUCACAAACAGUCUUGGAAGGAGAGUUCUGAAAUUUUAAAUUUCAUAUUUGACUUUGCUGGUCCUCUGACAGAAUCAACUCACAACUUUUUGGGACUUUAUGGGCAAUUAAACACUACAAACAGAGCUGAAUGCAUCAUAUGCUCUGCCGUCUGUGUUAAUAUGGGUACAGUGAAGAACAACUAUAAUAAAUCUAUUCAUCUGUUUUUCAAACAGCAUCCUCAUACAAUUGUGGACUUCUGUGGGUUGUAGGAUGGCUGAGAGCUGCAAAUGCAGAA
This is a non-coding RNA of Rattus norvegicus (Norway rat), 1153 nucleotides long. NCBI's taxonomy places the organism in Eukaryota, Metazoa, Chordata, Mammalia, Rodentia, Muridae. The record is from RefSeq and is a predicted model, not a curated record.